UCCUCCGCUAGAGUGUUGCAGGUGUGGCUGCUGUGUCACAUGUGCAUCACUUGUGGCAGAGAGGACAGUGGCUAUGUUUAUACUCAGUAUUCUGGUCUGUGAACAUCUGAAUGAAUGAUUAGUAGCCUAACAUU
This is a small nucleolar RNA of Mus spicilegus (steppe mouse), 134 nucleotides long. NCBI's taxonomy places the organism in Eukaryota, Metazoa, Chordata, Mammalia, Rodentia, Muridae. The record is from Ensembl.